Molecule: long non-coding RNA, 710 nt
Organism: Symphalangus syndactylus (siamang)
Lineage: Eukaryota; Metazoa; Chordata; Mammalia; Primates; Hylobatidae
Source: RefSeq, a predicted model, not a curated record
GUGGGCCCCCUGGGGCUCUCUCUCUUCUCCUUUCCUCCCACAGCCGAGCCUCUCCCUUUCUGGAAGGGAUCAAGACAAAUGGAAUGGCAGAUUAUAACACGGCUUUUGAAGAACAGGAGGGGUCUUGCCAUUUAGAUCUCCGGAGGUUGUGCUAGACCCGGGGGAAGACGUGACCAGUCGUGCUUUGCUGCGGAGGGUGAUGUGACUCUGUAGAGCCUGUUGAAAUGACACCCCCAAGGGUGACUCUGGAGACAUGGGAACUGACGAGAGCACAGGUGGACACAGUCAUCCGGAGAGCAUCUGACUCAGUAGUGAAAACUAAGUUAUACGUAAACCGAAUGACCCAGCAAUGCACCUCCUAGAGAAACUCGCCUGUGGAUAGGUCCUAAAAACCUGAAAGAAGCCUGCCUGGUAAGGGCGCUCACGCCCGUAAGCCCAGAGCUUUCCGUGGCCAAGGCAGGAGAAUCGUUCAAGCCCAGGAGUUUGAGACCAGCCUGGACAACCUAAAGAGAUUCUGUCUCUACAAAAAAUUUAAAAAUGAACUGGGCAUGAUGGCAGGUGCCUGUAGUCCCAGCUACUCAGGAGGCUGGGGUGGGAGGAUUGCUUGAGCCUGGGAGGUCGGGGCCUCAGUGAGCCAUGAUGGCACCACUGCACUCAAGCCUGGAUAACAGAGCAAGACCCUGUUUCAAAAAAUAUAUGUAUAAAUAAUU